GAACGCUGGCGGCAGGCUUAACACAUGCAAGUCGAGCGGUAACAUUUCUAGCUUGCUAGAAGAUGACGAGCGGCGGACGGGUGAGUAAUACUUAGGAAUCUACCUAGUAGUGGGGGAUAGCAUGGGGAAACCCAUAUUAAUACCGCAUACGACCUACGGGAGAAAGGGGGCAGUUUACUGCUCUCGCUAUUAGAUGAGCCUAAGUCGGAUUAGCUAGAUGGUGGGGUAAAGGCCUACCAUGGCGACGAUCUGUAGCUGGUCUGAGAGGAUGAUCAGCCACACCGGAACUGAGACACGGUCCGGACUCCUACGGGAGGCAGCAGUGGGGAAUAUUGGACAAUGGGGGCAACCCUGAUCCAGCCAUGCCGCGUGUGUGAAGAAGGCCUUUUGGUUGUAAAGCACUUUAAGCAGUGAAGAAGACUCUAUGGUUAAUACCCAUAGACGAUGACAUUAGCUGCAGAAUAAGCACCGGCUAACUCUGUGCCAGCAGCCGCGGUAAUACAGAGGGUGCAAGCGUUAAUCGGAAUUACUGGGCGUAAAGGGAGCGUAGGUGGCUCGAUAAGUCAGAUGUGAAAUCCCCGGGCUCAACCUGGGAACUGCAUCUGAUACUGUUGAGCUAGAGUAUGUGAGAGGAAGGUAGAAUUCCAGGUGUAGCGGUGAAAUGCGUAGAGAUCUGGAGGAAUACCGAUGGCGAAGGCAGCCUUCUGGCAUAAUACUGACACUGAGGCUCGAAAGCGUGGGUAGCAAACAGGAUUAGAUACCCUGGUAGUCCACGCCGUAAACGAUGUCUACUAGUCGUUGGGUCCCUUGAGGACUUAGUGACGCAGCUAACGCAAUAAGUAGACC
Molecule: ribosomal RNA, 846 nt
Filed under: uncultured Psychrobacter sp.
Lineage: Bacteria; Pseudomonadati; Pseudomonadota; Gammaproteobacteria; Moraxellales; Moraxellaceae
Description: bacterial SSU rRNA
Rfam family: Bacterial small subunit ribosomal RNA
Source: RNAcentral